UAUUAUAUUAUUGCAAUUAGAUAAACUUACAAAAGAUUACAAACAAAAAGUUAAUGUUGUUGAUCCAAAUCUUAGCAAAAAAUUGUUUAUUCAGUUGGUAUGGGGACAGACAUGCAAUUUGAAGACAACAUAUAUGCGCUAGUAUAUGCGUAAUUAAAAUGACGACGAAAAUAAGUUGUUUUGAAAACGAGGUUUGUGACCAACGUGCAAUAAUUGCUCAGGCCCGGAAUUUGUGUUUGAGUGACUGCAAAUGUUUUAAUACCCGCACACCGGAAACCCACUGCUACGGUUACGUGCCGGUUGUAAGGAAAGACGAGCAUCAUCGCCAACGUAAAUUUUUGCUUCUGGCCACUGAACCUUCCCAUCAACAACAAACUUCCACAUGAUUCCGCCAACGAUACAAAGUGCCAACGAAUAUGCUUCGAAAUGAGAUAGUCAAGUCACGCGAUGACUACAAAGUUCGGAAAAAUUUUUCCCGAGCGGAGAACAUGAACAUGAUGCAAAAUGAGCCUAUUGGCAGCGACGGCCAUCGAAUCGAUUGGCAGAAGCAGAUUUUCCCCGCACUUUGCACGAUAGUCAUCAAUUCGAACAAUUUCAAGGUACGGAUCAAUUCUGCAGCUGCCCUUUCGGUAAUCAAAUUUGAAGCUCUCUGUUGACCGCACUAGAGCAGUCGGAUAAUCUUAUUGACUACAAUGAGUACAAACACAGAGAUAAUCUGCAAGAGCAGCUUUGUCUGUCACUUUCGCACUUUCUUCGACUGACAACGCGGGACGACCUGGUGGCAAUGAGCAACGAAUUACUUCCUUUGUUCGAUACGGUGCGCCAGAAUUGGGACCGGGUCAUCAACCGGAUAUUGCCGGAAAACGCGGUCAAACUGUUUGAAGCACACGUCAAACUGAAAGAUUUAUAACCGACGGUCAGAAAUGCGGAAACACGUGGUGCCGUUGAAAUGAUUUUGAACUGUUUCGCCAGUG
Molecule: long non-coding RNA, 974 nt
Organism: Topomyia yanbarensis
Lineage: Eukaryota; Metazoa; Arthropoda; Insecta; Diptera; Culicidae
Exons: 3
Source: RefSeq, a predicted model, not a curated record